RNAcentral lists this unclassified non-coding RNA (491 nucleotides) under Hevea brasiliensis (rubber tree). Lineage: Eukaryota; Viridiplantae; Streptophyta; Magnoliopsida; Malpighiales; Euphorbiaceae. The record is from RNAcentral.
ACGAUGACACACUUCACUAUCAGCCUGAAUCACCAUCCUUUGGUAUAUCUCCACCUUCGCAACCUCCGCCUCCUCCUCCUCCUCCACCUCCACCUCCACCUCAAUCAGUGUUCUAUAAUUUGUUCAGAAAAGGAAGCAAAAAUAAGAGAAUUCAUUCAUUUUCAGCUCCACCACCACCUCCACCACCACCUCCUCCUCCACCACGACAGUCUCUCACCGCAUCAAAGAGGUGGUCCAAGCGUAAGAGUCAGAUACCACCUCCUCCACCGCCCCCGCCCCCGCCCCCAGCACCAGUAACACCUCCCCAAGCACCCUCCAGACGGCGGAAUUCUACAACAACAGGCCGGCCACCGUUACCAACAAGAGCUAAUAAUAAUUCCUACGAGGAAAAUGUGAAUAGCCAAGGGCAAUCCCCUCUCAUUCCAAUGCCCCCACCACCUCCACCUCCGCCGUUCCGAGUGCCAGGUUUUAAAUUUACAGUCAAAGGGGAC